Non-coding RNA from Macrostomum lignano, 1777 nucleotides. Lineage: Eukaryota; Metazoa; Platyhelminthes; Macrostomidae. The record is from Rfam.
UUACAAGCCUGACCUCACGGGAGGGGCGCAUUUAUUAAUCAAAAGCGCAAGUCGGGGCUUGGCCCGUCUGCUUGGUGACUCUGGAUAACUUUUGUGUCUGAUCGGCAAUGGCCUCUGCGCUGGCGACGUAUCUUUUCAAGUGUCUGCCCUAAUCAACUUACGAUGGUAGGUGAUAAUGCCUACCAUUGGUUAUAACGGGUAACGGGAAUGCAGGGUUCGAUUCCGGAGAGGGAAGCCUGAGAAACGGCUACCACAUCUAAGGAAGGCGAGCAAGGCGCUGGCAAAAUUACCACUCCGGCACGGGGAGGUAGUGACGAAAAAUAACGAUAGCGGGACUCUUUUGAGGCCCCGUAAUUGGAAUGAGUACUUUAAAUCCGUAACACAAGUAUCUAUUGGUAAGGGGUCAAGUCUGGUGGGGCGCAGCCAGCCGCGCUAAAUCCAAGCUCCAAAUAGGCGUAUAUUAAUGUUGCUGCAGUUAAAAAGCUCGUAGUUGGAUCUGAGAAACUCGAAUUGGUGGUGCACCAUACGGUGUUACUGCCGAUUCGGCCUUACCUAGUCAGGUGCUCGCUCUUGGUGUUCUUUAAUUGAAUGCCCUGAGUGCCCGGCCCCAAAAAAGUUUACUUUGAAAAAAUUAGAGUGGCUCAAGCCAGGCCAUUAGCAGGAAUAACUUCAAGCAUGGAAUAAUGGAAUAGGACUUCGGCUUCUAUUUUGUUGGUUUUCCCGGAACCCGAGUAAAUGAUUAAGAGAGACAGACGGGGCAAUUCGGUACUGCGCGUGUUAGAGGGUGAAAUUCUUGCGGAAUCGCGCAAAGACGUAAACAACUGGGCGAAAAGCAUUGCCAAGAAUGUUUUCAUUAAUCAAGAAAAACGAACAGUAGAGUUCGAAGACGAUCAGAAAUCCGGUCGCUAGUUCUGAGCAUAAACGAUGCCAACUGCGAUGCCGAGAUCGUUUCUUAUUGGACCUGCUCGGGCAGCCUCCGGGAACCAAAGCUUUUUAGUUCCGGGGAAGUAGUGUUGCAAAACGUGAAACUUCAGUGAUUGACGGAAGGGCAAUGCCACCAGGAGUGGAGCCUGGUGGAAUUUGACUCAACACGGGAAAACUCCCCGGCCGGACACUGUUUAGGAAUGACAAGAUUGAAUAGCUCGUUCUUGAUUCGGUGGGUGUUGUCGGUUGCAUGGCGUUCCUUAGUUGGUGAGCGAUUUGUCCUGCGUUAAUUCCCGAUAACGAACGAGACUCUAGCCUGCUAAAUAGUACGCCGCGGAUACCUUUUCGUCGGUGCUGACUCUCCUUAGAGGGACAGCGAAGCGUCUUGAAGACGCACGAGAUUGAGCAAUAACAGGUCUCUGUGAUGCCCUUAGAUGUUCGGGGCCGCACGCGGCGCGCUACACUGAAGGGGGAUCAGCGAGUUUUUCUCCUGGUUCGAAAGAACGGGUAAUCUUGUUGAAUUCCCUUCGUGACAGGGAUCGGGGCUUGCAAUUUAUUCCCCGUGAACGAGGAAAUUCCCAGUAAGCGCAAGUCAUCAGCUUGCGUUGAUUUACGUCCCUGCCCUUUGUACACACACCGCCCACGUCGUAUCGCCCGAUUGAAUCUGUUUAGCAAAGGUAACCUCUGAUUGAAUGGUUUAGCACGAGUCCUCGGCAUCUGGUGCGACUUGUGCAACACAGGUCGGAUACUGAAAAGAAGAUCAAACUUGAUCAAACUGAUCAAUUUAGAGGAAGAGUAAAUAGUCGUAAACAAGGUUUCCCGGUGUAGGUCUGAACCUGCGGAAGGAUCAUUA